This 455-nucleotide ribosomal RNA is filed under the name uncultured bacterium. RNAcentral's name for it is "partial 16S ribosomal RNA". It matches the Rfam family "Bacterial small subunit ribosomal RNA", at positions 27 to 507 of the family's 1533-position model. The record is from RNAcentral.
GGAUGAACGCUGACAGAAUGCUUAACACAUGCAAGUCUACUUGAACUUCGGUUUGGGUGGCGGACGGGUGAGUAACGCGUAAAGAACUUGCCUCACAGAUAGGGACAACAUUUGGAAACGAAUGCUAAUACCUGAUAUUAUGAUUUUAGGGCAUCCUAGAAUUAUGAAAGCUAUAUGCACUGUGAGAGAGCUUUGCGUCCCAUUAGCUAGUUGGAGAGGUAACGGCUCACCAAGGCGAUGAUGGGUAGCCGGCCUGAGAGGGUGAUCGGCCACAAGGGGACUGAGACACGGCCCUUACUCCUACGGGAGGCAGCAGUGGGGAAUAUUGGACAAUGGACCAAGAGUCUGAUCCAGCAAUUCUGUGUGCACGAUGAAGUUUUUCGGAAUGUAAAGUGCUUUCAGUUGGGAAGAAAAAAAUGACGGUACCAACAGAAGAAGUGACGGCUAAAUACGUG